GAUGCAUUCGUGGGGCAUCAGAGGCAUGAAGGAAACAAGGAAGCUGUUAAAGACGGGAGCGUAAUGCAUGGAGUUGUUGCAUUCAAAACCGGGUCCAACUAGAAGAACGUUGGGCAGAACCACUCGCAGAUUAGUUGCUGAUUUCUUUGCUAUUUCUUAGUUAUCCUGUUAACGUUGCAGCUUGUAGCCGUUAGGAAACCAUUAUAAAUAAGCCAGGAGGCAUAGGAGUGGAGGGUAGAGAAAUAUUUCCUUUUGUACUCAUGGUUGUCUUCAACCUUGUUUCAUUCUUUUAAUAUAUCCAGUUUCCCUUUGUUCUGGUUAUUCACUACUCAAGCUCCAUCAUACCAUUGGUCGUUUUUAAGUGAAUUUAUGGCGGGUUUUCAAGGCAGACAGGAAGGAGAUAUGGGUUUCUUAGGAGCUUGUUAGCUUGCUCCCAUGGCCUUAUUAUUCUCUAAAGGGAUGGGAAAUGCCAGUCAAUGAGGAGGAAAAGCCCCAAGGGGAGUAGGGCUCAAGUGUGGAACGAUAGCAACAACCAUAGGUUCACAGAAUCCAAAGGAACCUCGGCCCGUCAGGAUUCUCCCUCGAUCUAUUACACUGUUGAUACCUCUGGUGUCUCGGUAGCUGGCUUUUUUUUUUUCUUCUGUUUUUUGGUUUUUGUUUCUUUUAACUUUUGAAGGGAGAGAGGGAACACUCAACCAUUCUGACUGGAGGUAAAUGGCAAGUCUUUCGAGUCAUGGGUCGCCCAGCACCCCAUAAUUAUGAUAUGAUUAAUUAGAUUUGCCCAAAUUCUUAUCCAAAAGCAUG
RNAcentral lists this long non-coding RNA (804 nucleotides) under Phoenix dactylifera (date palm). RNAcentral describes it as "long non-coding RNA (PDAC_LNC007701)". Lineage: Eukaryota; Viridiplantae; Streptophyta; Magnoliopsida; Arecales; Arecaceae. The record is from RNAcentral.